GGAGGGGGCAAGCGUUAUUCGGAUUUACUGGGCGUAAAGCGCACGUAGGUGGCAUGGUAAGUCAAAGGUGAAAGCCCUCGGCUCAACCGAGGAAUUGCCUUUGAAACUGCCUUGCUUGAGUCCGGGAGGGGGGGCGGAAUUCCCAGUGUAGCGGUGAAAUGCGUAGAUACUGGGAGGAACACCGGUGGCGAAGGCGGCUCCCUGGACCGGUACUGACACUGAGGUGCGAAAGCGUGGGUAGCAAACAGGAUUAGAUACCCUGGGUAGUCCACGCCGUAAACGAUGGGCACUAGGUGCAGCGGGUGUCGACCCCCCUGCUGUGCCGUAGUUAACGCAUUAAGUGCCCCGCCUGGGGAGUACGGUCGCAAGGCUG
This 373-nucleotide ribosomal RNA is filed under the name uncultured organism. Its description in RNAcentral is "partial 16S ribosomal RNA". It matches the Rfam family "Bacterial small subunit ribosomal RNA", at positions 527 to 896 of the family's 1533-position model. The record is from RNAcentral.